Monodelphis domestica (gray short-tailed opossum) is the source of this 885-nucleotide long non-coding RNA. RefSeq lists it as uncharacterized. NCBI's taxonomy places the organism in Eukaryota, Metazoa, Chordata, Mammalia, Didelphimorphia, Didelphidae. The record is from RefSeq and is a predicted model, not a curated record.
CUUUGCAAACGAGUCUUUCCAAUGGAAAGCUUCAAAAAGAAUGAAUUAGUACUUUUUAAUAAUCAUAAUUAAUAACAUCUAGUAUUUACAUAGUUGGUGUUCAAUUAACUUUACAAAGAGUUAAUUUUAUCUUCAAAACAACUUGGGGGGGUAGAUGCUGUUAAAAGAGGUCAUAAGGAAGAUGAAAUCUUUGCUCCAAGCUUGGUGCUGUAUCCAUUGUGUCACCUAGCUACACCUAGUUUACAGAUGAUGAAACAGAGGUAAACAGGGGUUACAUGAUUUGACCAGAGACCCAGAGCUAGUAAAUGUUGGAGCCCAGAUUUGAACUAGUAAAUUGCCUUUCUGUGUCAUCCUAGCUAUUAGACUUAUGGUGAGGAUAUGAGAUUUAGAGGUAGAAAAAGCUUAGAUACCAGUAAAUCGAAUCAUCUUAUUUUAAUGAAUAUGGACAUUGAGCUACAUAAAGAGUUUAUGUGACCUGCCUAAGAUUUUCCAGCUAGUAUGGAUUAGAGGUCUUUCUGAUUUCAAAUAUAUUGUCUUUCACCAUAUUGCAAAGAAGCUCAGGGAAGAUGUCUUCUAAGUCAGAAGAAAGCCUGGGAUGGAAGUUCCUCUUUUGUUUGUUCUCUCUGCCAUCUGAAAGAUGCUAUUUCUAGGAAGGAAAAGAUAAUACAAAAAGAGCCACUGCACAGGGCUAAAGAAGCACAAAGUUAACCAGUUCAAUGCCAAUGGAGCACAAGGUCAAAGACCAACCAAUCCCAAUGGGGUUGAUGAAAAUUCUAAGCCAAUAAAAAGGACUUGAACCUAAUGUGAAGACUCAAGGUUGUGAUGCUAAACAUACAUUAAGAUGUAGGCCUUCUUUGUAUCCACACUCUUAUGAAAUUACUUAAA